This 119-nucleotide ribosomal RNA is filed under the name Triticum dicoccoides. Lineage: Eukaryota; Viridiplantae; Streptophyta; Magnoliopsida; Poales; Poaceae. The record is from RNAcentral.
GGAUGCGAUCAUACUAGCACUAAAGCACCGGAUCCCAUCAGAACUCUGAAGUUAUGCGUGCUUGAGCGAGAGUAGUACUAGGAUGGGUGACUUCCUGGGAAGUCCUCGUGUUGCAUUCC